GCCUGACCCAGCAACGCCGCGUGAAGGAAGAAGGCUUUCGGGUUGUAAACUUCUUUUAACAGGGACGAAAAUGACGGUACCUGUUGAAUAAGCCACGGCUAACUACGUGCCAGCAGCCGCGGUAAUACGUAGGUGGCAAGUGUUAUCCGGAUUUACUGGGUGUAAAGGGCGUGUAGGCGGGACUGCAAGUCAGAUGUGAAAACUAUGGGCUCAACCCAUAGCUGCAUUUGAAACUGUAGUUCUUGAGUGUCGGAGAGGCAAUCGGAAUUCCGUGUGUAGCGGUGAAAUGCGUAGAUAUACGGAGGAACACCAGUGGCGAAGGCGGAUUGCUGGACGAU
This 338-nucleotide ribosomal RNA is filed under the name uncultured bacterium. RNAcentral describes it as "bacterial SSU rRNA". It matches the Rfam family "Bacterial small subunit ribosomal RNA", at positions 381 to 737 of the family's 1533-position model. The record is from RNAcentral.